RNAcentral lists this unclassified non-coding RNA (142 nucleotides) under uncultured Mortierellaceae. Its description in RNAcentral is "sequence contains ITS1". The record is from RNAcentral. Lineage: Eukaryota; Fungi; Mortierellomycota; Mortierellomycetes; Mortierellales; Mortierellaceae.
CAAUAAGUGUUCAAUGGCACUUUUAAAAAUCCAUUACCCACCUUGUGUGCAAUGUAAGGAGGAGGGGUGUCAUGCCUCUCUUUCCAUUAUACAUACCAAUCUUCUCUUGUUGUCUACUUUUUGAGUAUAAAAAACUCGAAUA